Molecule: ribosomal RNA, 424 nt
Filed under: Theileria sp.
Lineage: Eukaryota; Apicomplexa; Aconoidasida; Piroplasmida; Theileriidae
Description: SSU rRNA
Rfam family: Eukaryotic small subunit ribosomal RNA
Source: RNAcentral
AUUACCCAAUUCGGACACAGGGAGGUAGUGACAAGAAAUAACAAUACGGGGCUUAAUGUCUUGUAAUUGGAAUGAUGGGAAUUUAACCUCUUCCAGAGUAUCAAUUGGAGGGCAAGUCUGGUGCCAGCAGCCGCGGUAAUUCCAGCUCCAAUAGCGUAUAUUAAAAUUGUUGCAGUUAAAAAGCUCGUAGUUGAAUUUCUGCUGCAUUGCUUUUGCUCCUUUACGAGUCUUUGCAUUGUGGCUUAUUUCGGACUUUGUUUUACAAUGUCCGGAUGUUUACUUUGAGAAAAUUAGAGUGCUCAAAGCAGGCUUUCGCCUUGAAUAGUUUAGCAUGGAAUAAUAAAGUAGGACUUUGGUUCUAUUUUGUUGGUUUUAGGUACCAAAGUAAUGGUUAAUAGGAACAGUUGGGGGCAUUCGUAUUUAA